GCAUUGCGGGUGCUACCAUGCAGUCGAACGAUGAACCCGAAGCUUGCUUUGGGGGAUUAGUGGCGAACGGGUGAGUAACACGUGAGCAACCUGCCCCUCACUCUGGGAUAAGCGCUGGAAACGGCGUCUAAUACUGGAUACGAGACGCGACCGCAUGGUCAGUGUCUGGAAAGAUUUUUUGGUGGGGGAUGGGCUCGCGGCCUAUCAGCUUGUUGGUGAGGUAAUGGCUCACCAAGGCGUCGACGGGUAGCCGGCCUGAGAGGGUGACCGGCCACACUGGGACUGAGACACGGCCCAGACUCCUACGGGAGGCAGCAGUGGGGAAUAUUGCACAAUGGGCGGAAGCCUGAUGCAGCAACGCCGCGUGAGGGAUGACGGCCUUCGGGUUGUAAACCUCUUUUAGCAGGGAAGAAGCGAAAGUGACGGUACCUGCAGAAAAAGCACCGGCUAACUACGUGCCAGACC
This 465-nucleotide ribosomal RNA is filed under the name Microbacterium sp. TW15A. Its description in RNAcentral is "bacterial SSU rRNA". It matches the Rfam family "Bacterial small subunit ribosomal RNA", at positions 37 to 514 of the family's 1533-position model. The record is from RNAcentral. Lineage: Bacteria; Bacillati; Actinomycetota; Actinomycetes; Micrococcales; Microbacteriaceae.